Molecule: microRNA precursor, 67 nt
Filed under: Bombyx mori (domestic silkworm)
Lineage: Eukaryota; Metazoa; Arthropoda; Insecta; Lepidoptera; Bombycidae
Description: mir-2774 microRNA precursor family
Rfam family: mir-2774 microRNA precursor family
Source: Rfam by way of RNAcentral
AUAACAUUCGGACAGUCGGUCUCCCGAGCAAUUUUACACGUUCUGUGGAAGAUCUUCCCUUUGUCGA